This 468-nucleotide ribosomal RNA is filed under the name uncultured bacterium. Its description in RNAcentral is "partial 16S ribosomal RNA". It matches the Rfam family "Bacterial small subunit ribosomal RNA", at positions 28 to 507 of the family's 1533-position model. The record is from RNAcentral.
GACGAACGCUGGCGGCGUGCUUAACACAUGCAAGUCGAACGGAAAGGCCCUGCUUUUGUGGGGUGCUCGAGUGGCGAACGGGUGAGUAACACGUGAGUAACCUGCCCUUGACUUUGGGAUAACUUCAGGAAACUGGGGCUAAUACCGGAUAGGAGCUCCUGCUGCAUGGUGGGGGUUGGAAAGUUUCGGCGGUUGGGGAUGGACUCGCGGCUUAUCAGCUUGUUGGUGGGGUAGUGGCUUACCAAGGCUUUGACGGGUAGCCGGCCUGAGAGGGUGACCGGCAACAUUGGGACGGAGAUACGGCACAGACUACUACGGGAGGCAGCAGUGGGGAAGAGGGAACAAUGGGCGGAAGCCUGAUGCAGCAACGCCGCGUGCGGGAUGACGGCCUUCGGGUUGUAAACCGCUUAAGCCGGUGACGAAGCGUGAGUGACGGUAAUGGGUAAAGAAGCACCGGCUAACUACGUG